AGCGCUGCGGCCAACGUCACCCUCGUCAUCCCCGCGACCCUGCAGACUGCAGACCCUAACUGGACCCUGUAUGUGCUGCUGUCGCUGGUGGUGGCGGAGGGGGCGGCGCUCCUGUGCUUCCUUUGCGUCCUGCUGCGCCGGGGGCUGCUGACGGCCGAGUGUUUAUUCUCAUACGUCAGGGGGGGCAAGCGCCCCCCGGAGGAGCCCUUCGUGAUACUCCCCCAAAAU
Long non-coding RNA from Hyalella azteca, 228 nucleotides. RefSeq lists it as uncharacterized. The transcript has 3 exons. The record is from RefSeq and is a predicted model, not a curated record. NCBI's taxonomy places the organism in Eukaryota, Metazoa, Arthropoda, Malacostraca, Amphipoda, Hyalellidae.